ACGAACGCUGGCGGCGUGCUUAACACAUGCAAGUCGAACGGAAAGGCCCUGCUUUUGUGGGGUGCUCGCGUGGCGAACGGGUGAGUAACACGUGAGUAACCUGCCCUUGACUUUGGGAUAACUUCAGGAAACUGGGGCUAAUACCGGAUAGCAGCUCCUGCUGCAUGGUGGGGGUUGGAAAGUUUCGGCGGUUGGGGAUGGACUCGCGGCUUAUCAGCUUGUUGGUGGGGUAGUGGCUUACCAAGGCUUUGACGGGUAGCCGGCCUGAGAGGGUGACCGGCCACAUUGGGACUGAGAUACGGCCCAGACUCCUACGGGAGGCAGCAGUGGGGAAUAUUGCACAAUGGGCGGAAGCCUGAUGCAGCAACGCCGCGUGCGGGAUGACGGCCUUCGGGUUGUAAACCGCUUUCGCCUGUGACGAAGCGUGAGUGACGGUAAUGGGUAAAGAAGCACCGGCUAACUACGUG
This 467-nucleotide ribosomal RNA is filed under the name uncultured bacterium. RNAcentral's name for it is "partial 16S ribosomal RNA". It matches the Rfam family "Bacterial small subunit ribosomal RNA", at positions 29 to 507 of the family's 1533-position model. The record is from RNAcentral.